RNAcentral lists this ribosomal RNA (497 nucleotides) under uncultured bacterium. RNAcentral's name for it is "partial 16S ribosomal RNA". It matches the Rfam family "Bacterial small subunit ribosomal RNA", at positions 28 to 507 of the family's 1533-position model. The record is from RNAcentral.
GAUGAACGCUGGCGGCGUGCCUAAUACAUGCAAGUCGAGCGAACGGACGAGAAGCUUGCUUCUCUGAUGUUAGCGGCGGACGGGUGAGUAACACGUGGAUAACCUACCUAUAAGACUGGGAUAACUUCGGGAAACCGGAGCUAAUACCGGAUAAUAUUUUGAACCGCAUGGUUCAAAAGUGAAAGACGGUCUUGCUGUCACUUAUAGAUGGAUCCGCGCUGCAUUAGCUAGUUGGUAAGGUAACGGCUUACCAAGGCAACGAUGCAUAGCCGACCUGAGAGGGUGAUCGGCCCCACUGGACCUGAGACACGGUCCAGACCCCUACGGGAGGCAGCAGUAGGGAAUCUUCCGCAAUGGGCGAAAGCCUGACGGAGCAACGCCGCGUGAGUGAUGAAGGUCUUCGGAUCGUAAAACUCUGUUAUUAGGGAAGAACAUAUGUGUAAGUAACUGUGCACAUCUUGACGGUACCUAAUCAGAAAGCCACGGCUAACUACGUG